This 301-nucleotide ribosomal RNA is filed under the name uncultured bacterium. Its description in RNAcentral is "partial 16S ribosomal RNA". It matches the Rfam family "Bacterial small subunit ribosomal RNA", at positions 509 to 807 of the family's 1533-position model. The record is from RNAcentral.
CAGUAGCCGCGGGAAUACAGAGGGUGCGAGCGUUAAUCGGAUUUACUGGGCGUAAAGCGUGCGUAGGCGGCUUCUUAAGUCGGAUGUGAAAUCCCUGAGCUUAACUUAGGAAUUGCAUUCGAUACUGGGAAGCUAGAGUAUGGGAGAGGAUGGUAGAAUUCCAGGUGUAGCGGUGAAAUGCGUAGAGAUCUGGAGGAAUACCGAUGGCGAAGGCAGCCAUCUGGCCUAAUACUGACGCUGAGGUACGAAAGCAUCGGGAGCAAACAGGAUUAGAUACCCCGGUAGUCCCUGUCUCUUAUAC